AUCUGGGCGGCGAAAUUCAGAAUGACUGGGCGGUCUCGCGCUUGUCCGGUCGUUUGAUAUUUUCGUCGCCGUGUCAGACGUCGCGAUCUGUUCGUCGUCGGCCCCUGCUCGGAGGAGUUGCCAUUCAAUUUGUUGGGGGCCGCGUUUCGCGUGUUCAACGGCAAAGAUGCGAAUCUCUGGCUGACGACGGACAGUAAGCAAUGGUGACCGAUACUGUGUCGCGUGCACCGUGUCGGUACCGAUCGGCGACGAUUUCUUCGGGCCUCUUUCCGACCCGUCUUGAAACACGGACCAAGGAGUCUAACAUGCGCGCGAGUCGCGGGGUAUCGAGCGUACUACGGUGCGCUCGGCUCAUUAUGAAACCCGUAUGUGGAAGGCGUAAUGAAAGUGAAUGGGGAAGAUGGUGUUCCGAGUAUACGUACCGUGAAAUUUCGCGGCCGGACACCCGCAUUCCCGGGGCGUCUCAAGGUUCGUCGCGAUUGCGGAUCAUCGUCUCUCGGGAUGGUGGUCGGUUUGCGACGGUCCGA
This 527-nucleotide ribosomal RNA is filed under the name Lepidosaphes pallida (Maskell's scale). RNAcentral's name for it is "eukaryotic LSU rRNA". The record is from RNAcentral. Lineage: Eukaryota; Metazoa; Arthropoda; Insecta; Hemiptera; Diaspididae.